Molecule: ribosomal RNA, 468 nt
Filed under: uncultured bacterium
Lineage: Bacteria
Description: partial 16S ribosomal RNA
Rfam family: Bacterial small subunit ribosomal RNA
Source: RNAcentral
GACGAACGCUGGCGGCGUGCUUGACACAUGCAAGUCGAACGGAAAGGCCCUGCUUUUGUGGGGUGCUCGAGUGGCGAACGGGUGAGUAACACGUGAGUAACCUGCCCUUGACUUUGGGAUAACUUCAGGAAACUGGGGCUAAUACCGGAUAGGAGCUCCUGCUGCAUGGUGGGGGUUGGAAAGUUUCGGCGGUUGGGGAUGGACUCGCGGCUUAUCGGCUUGUUGGUGGGGUAGUGGCUUACCAAGGCUUUGACGGGUAGCCGGCAUGGGAGGGUGACCGGCGACAAUGGGACUACGAUAGGGCCCAGACUGCUACGGUAGGCAGCGGGGGGAAAUAUUGCACAAUGGGAGGAAGCCUGAUGCAGCAACGCCGCGUGCGGGAUGACGGCUUUCGGGUUGUAAACCGCUUUCGCCUAUGACGAAGCGUGAGUGACGGUAAUGGGUAAAGAAGCACCGGCUAACUACGUG